AAAUGUCAAAUCGAAGUCUAUCCAAAAAUCAUUCCUGAAAAAUAAAAUUAAUUUCAUAUUCUCUCUAAUCAUAUUCCUGUCACAUGCACAUAAAAUAUUCUAGCCCAUGAAACUUUUGAAAAGAGCAUGUACCAUUUCACAUUUUAGUUUGGAGAUUUAUUGAAAAAUAACAUUUUAUUUAGAAUGAAUAGAUUAUGACAGAUUAACAAGUGUCAAAAUGAUAUUUAUGUAUUUAUUUGAAUAGUCUAGUAUCAUAUACAUAAUUAAUUCUUCAUCUUUCAGAUACUGAAGAGAGUAAUGAGUGAGAACAACAUUAAAAAUAUAAAGUAUUUUCUUAAAAAAAAAAAACUUUGUUCUUUCCUCUAAAAACUGUCAAAUGGUAACAGCCCUACUUUCACGCCAGGAAAACCCACUGUUGAGUUAGUUGGCUCUGAUUCCAAUGGUCUCAUCAGCUUUCUGAACGUAGGUACCUCAGCAGUGCCUCUUCCAAGAUAACAAAAUGAACUUUUAGAGAUUAAAAAAAUACAUUUUGGCAAUUGAAACUCACCAGCGCCUUUCUGCUUCUCCAGGAAGUUGUACCCGUCAGCACCUGCUGAGGGCUUUGUUGUCCAAACUCUGACAGGUAAAAAAAUUCCUGUAGAAUAAAGCCAGACCAGCUGGCUUUGAAGAGAAACCCCCCAGUUUGGGCUGCGUUUGUCUCCUCUCCUUUUCUAUGAAGACCCAGGCUUUCCCCCCUUGAUCGUCAAGCCGUAAGAUGCGUGAUCCCUGUGCACAAGUGUCUGGCAGGCCGAGGUGCACCUGUUCCUGUCACUCUGGAGUAAAUUUAGCUGUAAAGGUAUCACUGACAACCAGACCUUUGUCAGAGCUGGCAAAAGAACACAGAACUGCUGCCCUCCCCCACCCCUUCCAAACCCCUUCGCUGCUCGUUCAAAUGGAAAAUGUCAAAUCGGAAGUCUAUCCAAAAAUCAUUCCUGAAAAAAUGAGAUUGCUUUCAUAUGGUAAAAAGGCACCACUUUCAGAUAAAAACAUAGACCUGAAUGGCAUCAUCCAGUAUCCAAGGAAACCAUGCACUGUGGUGUAUCCUGAGCAGGACCGAGACAAGGGUGUUUUUCUUAAGAGCCACUGA
This 1126-nucleotide long non-coding RNA is filed under the name Bos grunniens (domestic yak). Its description in RNAcentral is "lncRNA (ENSBGRG00000003906.1)". The record is from RNAcentral. Lineage: Eukaryota; Metazoa; Chordata; Mammalia; Artiodactyla; Bovidae.